Molecule: small nucleolar RNA, 130 nt
Organism: Sorex araneus (European shrew)
Lineage: Eukaryota; Metazoa; Chordata; Mammalia; Eulipotyphla; Soricidae
Gene: U8
Rfam family: U8 small nucleolar RNA
About the family: U8 is a member of the C/D class of snoRNA which contain the C (UGAUGA) and D (CUGA) box motifs. U8 is the RNA component of a small complex (the U8 snoRNP) which is required for accumulation of mature large subunit ribosomal RNAs, 5.8S and 28S rRNAs.
Source: Ensembl
CCUUCAGAGGGAGUGCAGGUCCUGUUCCUUACAGGGGGCGGAGAUAACAAGAUGAUUGGAGUCCCAGGAUUUGUGGUUAAUGGUCUCUAUAGUAAUUAGGGGUUGAAGCAUCCUCUUUGUCCUAUCUGAU